RNAcentral lists this ribosomal RNA (357 nucleotides) under Triticum aestivum (bread wheat). RNAcentral describes it as "partial small subunit ribosomal RNA". Lineage: Eukaryota; Viridiplantae; Streptophyta; Magnoliopsida; Poales; Poaceae. The record is from RNAcentral.
AUGCAAAAUUUGUUGAUGGAUUUGAAUAAACACUCCAAAUGUGGUCAAAUUCUUGUCUGGGAGUUCAAUAGGAUCACCCAUGUUCUCAAAUUUAAGACAUGCGGCAACAUCCUCACCCUCAUUCUCCAUGAUCAUUUUGUGCAUGAGCACACAUCAUAUCAUCACCUCCCACAAGGUCUCUGGAUCCCAUUGUUUAGAAGAUUCACAAACAAGUGCAAAAUGGACCUGCGGAACUCCCAAUGCCCUCUCGAUAUUGUUUCUAGCCACUUCUUGUCUUUGAGCAAAGUGAUACUUUUUCUGGCCAACUGGACAGAGAUGGUGCCCAUAAAGGUAACCCAUGUCUGGCAUUCAAGUUAG